This 154-nucleotide ribosomal RNA is filed under the name uncultured Nitzschia. Its description in RNAcentral is "partial Bacterial large subunit ribosomal RNA". The record is from RNAcentral. Lineage: Eukaryota; Bacillariophyta; Bacillariophyceae; Bacillariales; Bacillariaceae.
GAAAUUCGAGGCGCGCUUGAUCUAGGAGAGGACCCGAUGGUACUUUCUCCUAAUUCCCAUGUUGCCCCGACACCAACGAAGCUAAAGCCUCAACCACGACGAGUACUGAAUCCAAAUAAUCCUGAAUCGCCUGCCAGGAAUACGCGUCGCUCUA